RNAcentral lists this ribosomal RNA (120 nucleotides) under Lingula anatina. RNAcentral also lists the same sequence under 1 other name. Lineage: Eukaryota; Metazoa; Brachiopoda; Lingulata; Lingulida; Lingulidae. The record is from RNAcentral.
GUCUACGGCCAUACCACCGGGAAAAAACCGGUUCUCGUCCGAUCACCGAAGUCAAGCCCGGUAGGGCCAGGUUAGUACUUGGAUGGGUGACCGCCUGGGAAUACCUGGUGCUGUAGACUU